ACUUCUUUCUUCCUCUCUCUCUCUUUUUCCUUCUCCAUUCUUUUCUUUUUCGUUUAGCAAACUACCAUCAUGUGACUCACCUUGCCAUUGUUGGCAUUCCAUCCUUGACUGUCAAUUCUCACCAAUAGCGCCUCUUUUGUUUAGUUCUAGUUUUUGGCCAUCGAUUAGUUCUUAUCGCCAUUUAGUUCAUUCGGCAUUUUAAAAAUCAUCCUUG
Molecule: unclassified non-coding RNA, 214 nt
Filed under: Hevea brasiliensis (rubber tree)
Lineage: Eukaryota; Viridiplantae; Streptophyta; Magnoliopsida; Malpighiales; Euphorbiaceae
Source: RNAcentral